This is a long non-coding RNA of Cygnus olor (mute swan), 6897 nucleotides long. RefSeq lists it as uncharacterized. The transcript has 2 exons. The record is from RefSeq and is a predicted model, not a curated record. Lineage: Eukaryota; Metazoa; Chordata; Aves; Anseriformes; Anatidae.
GGGCGUCCUGUCAGCGCUGCCGCCGCCGGGGGGGAUGGGGCGGGUUUGGUGCUGUGAGGCGUUUGACGGGAGCGGUGUGGGAUGAAGGGAGGAGCUGGGGGGUCCUGGGUGCUGCGAAGGGUCUGCUAACGGCAGCAGGCAACGCUGGGGGACGGGUGGGUGGUGAGGCGCGGCGCGGCCUGGACUGAGGUGGGGUGCUGGGCUGGUGGCGGUGACCUGGGUUCGGGUGUCAGAGCGGGACACGGGGUGCUGGCAGAGUCUCUGGGGGUGCCAGGUGGGUGAGGACCAGCAGCAGGGCUGUGGCGGUGGGGGAGCUGCUGCCGGGGUGCUGAGAGCACAGGCAGGAGGAAACGGCAGCAGGGACGGAGCUGCCCCGAGGGCAAAGCAGUGUGUUGUCCGGGAGCCCGCUGGAUCAGUUGAUGAUGGAGCUUGUCACACCAGGCACCAAAGCCGUCGCAGGAUGGACAUCUGCUGUGGAGAUGAAGGCAGCUGCCUCCAGCAGCGCCGUGCUUUGUGGGACACAUUUGGCCCGCAGCUGCUGCUAGCCAAAUCUGCUCUUCUGCCUUGUGAUGUCCCGAUAAACUGGUGUCGUCUGGGAUCUGGCUGCUGUUAUCAGAGGGCUUUGUGUGUGGAGAGGGUGGGCUGGGAGUUUUCCAGCGCCUGCGUUAUUUGAUGCGGCGUUUUAAUGCCUCUUUGUCUAUUUUCCAUUUCUGGGAGUUGUUUGUUGGAUUGCAGCCUCGCAGACGGGGUGGGUGGCACUUUGGGGUGCCCAGUGGACUGGUUGUGCUGGGCAGAGGACCGGGGAGCUCUGUGCUGUCUCUCUGGCGUCUCAGUUUUCCCUCAAACUGAAUAACCGUUAGUGGUAGGAACCCUCUGAAACACCAGCAAAUAUAACUAGAGCAGCCCGGGGGUGCGGGUCAGCAGUCAGAACUGAUCCAGACGGCUCGAUGUAACAACUUCCUGCUUGUCGUCUGAGCGUGUAGCUGCCCCGAGCGUGUUUCUGGCCUGUCGUGAUUGCACUGGUAGGCGCUGAAACCCCCUUCAACGGCUGCGUGCCCUGACUCCAGUGACCAGAGGGUUAAUGCCGAGGUUUGCAUGAGUUCGGUGCUCACCCAAGUGAGUAGGUACAGAGGGGAAGCUGUGGGGCAGAGGAGGCAGGAGGGCACAGGUGGAGCACGGAGGGAAAGACGGGCCGUGAAGACGCGGAGCGUUUUACCGGGAUGCGCAGCGCUGAGCCCUUUGGCUCGGCUGAGCAGCAAGCACGCGUGCUGGGCUCGCAGCGAGGCGAGGGGAGGUGCUACAGGGAAGGAUGGGCAGCUUUCCAGAGUUCGGGAAGCGCUGGGCGAAGCGGGGCUUGUGGGGUACUUGUCACUGCGUAACCAUCUUCACCGGUGGGGCGGCGCCUUCCCGGCUGAUAGCGGGGCCGGAGGACGGCCCGUGUUCUUCUCAAAGUGUUGACCGAAGCUGGCGUCGUUGUGUCAAAGCCACGGCUGUCAAAGCACGGCCCCGUUGUACCGCUGACGAAACUCAGCCGUGGGGUGUCUAGAGAACGCCAGGCAGGUCUCGUGGAGAGCAUGCCAUGCCAGCAGGGCUAGGUGUGUACUCGGGCGUCUUCCUCCCGGCCUUGAGCUCCUGUUUCUAGCACGAAUGGCGUCGCAGGGACGGGACGAGGCUGUCAAGUGCCGAAAGCACCGGAGCAGAGGCAGAGGGUGGUGACAUCGUCUGGUGGUGGGCAUUAGCUCUUUGCACGGGGCAGAACGCCGCCUUGCAGCCUGCUCAGAGCGUUCGAUUUUAAUUAUGGAAGGCGAAUCCCUGCUGCUCCCGGUUAAUACACCGAAACAGGGAGUGCCGGGUGACCUCUUUGACAGAGAACUAUGUUGGUAGGUUUGAGCUGGAAGAACUCCGUAGGUGACUGGCCUCCACUGAGUGUGGGAUUUCGGAGGAGAAAAGGAAGUCUGCGCUGAAUGACACCAUAUGGUGGAGACAUGCAGCAAGCAAAUGGCUUGGUUGGGAGUCCUGCCAGAGGAAGAAGUAUUGAAUCAACUGCGCUCAAUAGAUUAAUUUACUUCGGUUGUAUUUUGAGAAAGGCUGGGUGAUUUUAUGACCAUUAGUGACAUUUGCAGCUCUGCAGCCGAAGAUAAAGGUAAUCAGACGUCAUUCUUCAGGGCCCCAGCUAAUCAGCGCAGUUGUCAGAGCGGGCUCUUCUCCUCCAGCUCCCUGUGCGCAGAAGUGCACGCGGGACGACAAAUGUAGCCUCAAAUAUCCCCGCUGAAAGCCGGGUAUGGGGCUCAGCGAAACCGCUCGUCCUUCCCCAGGCGUGUGGCUGCUGCGUGCCAGCCUGGAAGCACCGCUCGCUUGUCUUUCUCCCGCUGUUUAAACGCGGUGAGCUGCUGCUGCAUCGCUGGUGGCGGGCCGGGGCUGCGCUGUGCUCGGUGCUGUGCACCCAGAGCAAGAUGUGUCCCCGCGCCACGGCAAUACGGGGCGAGGUGAGAGAUAACGGAGCGAUAGGAGGAGGAGAACGCCGGGCAGGUUGGAACUUGGCCCCUUCGCUGCCUAAACCUCCUCCAGGGCUGCAGGCGUGGCGGAGGAGGAAUUAGCGGGAGCCUCGAGGGGCGGCUUUAGGGAUGUUUUGCGAAGUUUCUCCCACGGUCGUAGGGGAGGCGCGAAGGGGCUGGGCUUGGUGCAGCUCUGGGAAGCGGAGCCGUCAGCUGGAGGGGGACGCCCGGUCCCCGCGUCGUGCUGUCCACCUGGGGACAACGGGGUGAGACGUGGCCACGGGGCGGGCCGAGAGGCAGAGCUUUGCGGCCACAGCGCGCCUCGGAGAAUUGAUUUGAUUUCGGCUAAAUAUCCACGUCUACCAGAUAAGCGGUCGCUGGUGACUGAGGGCGGUUUUGUUUUAAAUUCAUUAUCUGAGCUUUGCGGCUAAUAAAGUUCAGCAGAAUACAUUUACUUCCCUCCCCUAAUAGGAAUCAACCGUGCUCGGCCGUGGCUUGCGGGCCGUGCUUUAUCCGUGCCCUGUGUAUCCAGCCCUCAGUACGAGGGGAAAUUGUUCUUUCCAUUCCGGCCGCGUAGCGCCGAUCUGAUACAAUAUUUGAACGGAUUAUCUCAAUGCUCUGUUUGUCCCAGACCAAUUUUUGUUUUGGCCUAUAAAGUGAAUCUUCCUUUCAGCGGCUUCUGUGGUACAGGAUGUAGUUACAUGCAUCAGCUAGUUCAAAAGGCCCAUCUACAGCCUGGAUUUAAAGCUGAAUAAACCCACAAAACCCUUAGCUAGGACUAUAAAUGUCACUGUAUCUUUAUAUAUGUCUGUACUUUUUUCUUUUUUUAAGAGAACGGGAUUACUGCGUGCAGCUAUAACUGGAAGCCCUUUGAUAAUUCAGUGGGUAUUUUAAACCUAGCAAUGAUACGCUUUCAUAAAACCGCACAUCCCUGUUUUCUGAAGGAUGCUAAUAAGAUGGUUAGCCUUUCUUUCAUGUUCAACGUGUUUAUGAGUGCGCUUACCCAUUUAGCUGCAUCUCUGAAUUUAAUGCCCCGCUCUGAUUUCACAGUAAUUGACAGGAGCCUUUUUUUUUUUCUCCCCGUGAGUCCCCGCUCACUGUCUGGAAAAUGCACUCUCCUCCUUGCUAACCCCAUCAGUCUGUCUCCUGGUGGUGCCACAAAGAAAACCCUGGCCACCAAGGAUAAUGAUGUUUAUAAACAAGCCAAUCUGAUAGAAAACACGCGGUUCGCUUAACCCCGCGGGGACCGAGCGGCGCGGCUGCCGGCCGCCUGUGCCCGGCCUUGGGUUCCUCUGCGCGCCUGCCCCCCUCCAAAGGCCGCACGCGCUGCCACGCUGUGCCGCCCGUUAUCUCAGCAGCAUCUGCAGUUCCCUUCUCUCUUACAGAUGCCGCAGCCUGCUUAGUUUCGUGCAAGUGACGGGCUGCCCUUAGCCUCCUGCCGGCCGGCUCUGCGGCUCCUCGGCCGGGCGACGUCUCCACCGACCUGCAGGAGACGCGUCCCGCUCCUCACCCUGCUCCUCGCCCUCCAGCCCAGCCUCUGCCGGGCGUCCUCCCUGCUCGCUCCAGGCUACAUCCCAGCGCCCAGACGUUUGUCUGUUAGCUGUGCCGCCUCAAGGGCCUGUCUCUCCUCGGUCCAAGUUCGUUUCGGCGUUGUGUUUGCAAGCAGAGGAGUGCUAAUCCAUCCGUGUGUGUGCAGGGAGGGUUGCUUGUCCCACGUAGCGGCUGCGCGCAGCGGGGAACUCAGCUGAGUUAUUUUUUCCAGUCUACCGAGCUGUCAGGAAAUGCUUUCUGUCUUCCUAGCUAGUGCGCUCAUAAGACCAAUUAAAGGAAAAUAAUAAAUACAUUAGAAACCAGUCUGUGAACAGCUUUCCUUAGUCUUAAAUAUUCACUAGGGGGAGAAGGCAGGGUACGAGUCGCCAGUUAUCUUUACCGAGUAGUAACGGGCGUAGUAGCCAAGGCUGUUACUUGGCUGGUGAUUUAAAUUGUGUAUACAAAGCAUGUAACCUAUGCUGGCAGCUGCUGAAAUAAAGUCCACUUCUAUAUUGGCUUGCUUGUCUUCCAGCCUUUUAAAUCAGCUUACUUUAUACCUUAGAGGAUACUUUUAUUUCUAUAUAUAUCCUCGCGCCUAUUGGCUACCCCAGCUAAUCCUGUGAUCAGCCAUGCAGCGGUGUCACUCGAGUCGAAUAGGGAGCGAUGCUGAUCGUUUGCUCGUAGGCUGUCAUACUAGCCCAGAAAUAGCAUCCGUCUACAAUGGGAGAGAAGCUCUAUUAACGUUUCCAGCAGUUCCUCUUCCCGACCCCUGAGAAUUGCUCCCUGGUAGAUAAGCAACGCUUCCGAAUGCGUUUCUCUGCGCUCGCUAUUUUGGAGUUGGAUCCUGAAACGUAAGGGCCCCUAAUCCCGCUCUGCUCUGGGAUACGCUCCUCUGCUCUUAGCAAGUGGUGCUGCGGAUAGGAUUAGCAUUUCAACAACUUCUUUUUUUAACUGCGAGCAAUAAACUAAAAUAAUAGGGCCUGAUUCAGGGCCCUCUGCAGUUGGCAGCGGUGCUCGAGCUGGUAUGCGUUGGCUUUGGGUCAGCCCUGUAAGAACGGGGACUUCACAGCCUUUCCCUGCAAAGGAGGGGGAACGUGUGAAUUUUAGAGUUCCUGCUCUCGUGGGGUCUGUCCACACCGAGCCGCGCUCCGUGGAUUUACAAGCCAACAAACACAGCCGUAAAUUUGCCAGCAGGUGAAAAGCAAAUGCGCGUUGCUCGCCAGGCAGUUAAAACUUGUGUUUUUUAAUGAUGUCAAGGGCACCGAGGACACGCACGUCAACCGGCAGGCGUUAGGGGCGUUCCUGCCGCUCUGCCUUUCCCCUGCCCUCAGCCCCAUGAAGCGCAGCCCGUCGGCAGAAGGAGCCGGGCGCCGUGGCCGCGGGAAGGAGCUGCAGGGCUGCGGGGAGCUGCGGCAGCUGGCUCUGCCCGACGCGGCGCUUCAAAUCCAUCAGCCACGGGCCCAGCGGCGGGAGCCAGCUGUGAGCGCCCUCGGGCUCAGCGCGGGGCGUCGCAGGCCUGCUCUCUUCGACUACCGGCACCCCGUGGGCACGGCGCCCUCUGCCAAGCGGGGCCUGUUCCUGAUUAACGCCUCUCGAGCUGGGCCCGCAUUCCCAGGUUUUUACCAGCCUGCUUCCGAUAGAGGGGAUGCAGCCCCAGGGGCAGGCUCGGGGUAAGAUUUCGGUUUUGCUGUUAUGGUUCCCUGCGUGAGCUCGGAAUUUCUGGCCCUCAGCUCGACACGGGGUGUUCUAAAAGCACAGGCACAAUGGCAGUCACGCAGAUUUUUACAAAUACCCUCCAAAGCCAGUUUUAACAAGUUCCUCUUCUUCUCCCCGUUCCUUUCACGUCGUGUAUUUGGAGCUGUGUCUGGCAAUUAAAAGGAUAACCAAUAAAUUACUUCCCAAUCAGAAAUGCUUAGAGGGGGGGAUCAAACCUAACUUGCGUUUGAAUCUCGGCAUGUUCUCGCUCUGCGCUACUGAAAGCUGUGGCAUCGUGAUCCGUAGGGCCGUGUCCUUUCCGAAAUGCUCCGUGCCACCUUCGCACUGAGCAGGCUCAGAUAGUCCUUGGCUCCCAGUAGGAAUAUUUAGAGUUGCGAGAGCAUCCGUGCACCGCAGGACCAGGUGGAAUCGGGGUGAUUUGCGCCUCUUGGUUGCACGCCGGGAUCCCGAGCGCUCCCCCAGCCGUCGCAGAGAGGUCUCCGAGCGGUGGCACCGACGGAAGCCCGGGUGCGCUGCUGUAACGUGCCCGGCUGUAAAUGAGCUGACCUGCAAAUUCUGUUUCCUAAUCCUGAGUGAUACUGUCAGCUCAGAGAGCUGAGCCUGGCUAAUGACUGCAAUCCACUGUGCUUUUCUUAGCGGGGACGUGUGGUGAUCUGAGAUAGUUGUUAAGUGCUACAUCCUGAGAAGCAGAACUGCACGUGCCCCAUGGGUCCGGCAUGUUUUAGGCAGAUAAACGGGGUUUGAGAUGAUCAGGGAGUUACUAUGAAAAGAAGCGAUGUCAGGUACACAGUAACCUACAGCUAACCAGGAGGGAGAUUAAAUUAAUGGGGUUUUCCCUCUGAUAAAGAUAAUGAGGAGCUUGCAAGGACUUGGGUUGCAGCUCCUACACAUGAUAUCCUCGGGCGCUGUCUUCCUGGCACAGGCAGUGCCAAGCAGCUGCAUGACGUGAGCGGUGCAGCCAGUGGUGCACCCCACUGAGUGACAUUCGUGCUGUCUGAGACCUUGCUGCUGGUCCUUGAGAUGAAGGAAAAUUGGGGGCAGAAGAGGAAACGGGAAGGGGUUCAAGCUGUCCUGGAAUCCACCGCCAUACAGAACCUGUUUUGGGGGAAGGGGGGCAUGGCGUGGUGAGAGGAGAGAGUCAGAGGGGAAAUAACAG